UACGGAGGGUGCAAGCGUUGUCCGGAUUUAUUGGGUUUAAAGGGUGCGUAGGCGGCCUUUUAAGUCAGUGGUGAAAUUUUGUAGCUCAACUAUAAGACUGCCAUUGAUACUGAAGGGCUUGAGUACAGAUGAGGUAGGCGGAAUUUAUGGUGUAGCGGUGAAAUGCAUAGAUACCAUAAAGAACACCUAUUGCGAAGGCAGCUUACUAAGCUGUAACUGACGCUGAGGCACGAAAGCGUGGGGAUCGAACAGG
This 253-nucleotide ribosomal RNA is filed under the name uncultured bacterium. RNAcentral describes it as "partial 16S ribosomal RNA". It matches the Rfam family "Bacterial small subunit ribosomal RNA", at positions 524 to 776 of the family's 1533-position model. The record is from RNAcentral.